UGCUUAACAGCUUGGAUUGAAGAGGCUUGUCUGGGGGGACUGAGACCUUGCAGAUCAUUCCAGGAGCCGCCUCCAUCCAAGGCCAACAGCUUCAUCAGGCCGCAGGCCUGGGAGAAGGCCUAAUAGCAAUCAGAUGGCGCAAGUGGAAAAUCACGGCGCUCGGCAAGCAAGCUGGAAAUUGGCGGGCUGUGGUGCCUGGUGCCUGCGCUGCUCAGCGGGAGGAUGAGUCAGGAGUGUAGUGCCCAGACUGGGAGAGAUGUGCCUCUGUGGGCAUCUUGAAGGGAAAUGAGAAGCGGAGCUGCCCCUGCACCUGCGCUGGGAGCUGCCUGCCUCCUGCUUGUCCUGGCCAUGUGCGAACCUCAGCGUGGAAGAGGGACUCUCGCACUGCUCCCUGCGCGGCUCAGCUGGCCUCCUGGGGGCAGCCAGCUGGGGCCCAGCUGGAACGCUUGUUUACAUGGGGAGGCCGGGGGAGGCUGAAUCCCGGCGAGUUCCAAGUGUAAUUGCGUUUGGACACUUAAAAGGAAUUGUGUGAAGUGGGCAGAGGCUCUGAAGUCCACCGCCUUAUUUGGUGCUUCUGUGGCCUAUGGUUGCCCUGCUGCUCCCUGGACGAGGGGGUGGGUGUGGACCAGCCCUCGUGGCCCCUCUGCAGCCAGCACCAUCCUCAGUAAAGACUACAGGUCCAUCCACCCACCCAUCCAUCCAUCAAUCCGUCUAUCCAUCCAUUCAUCUAUCAAUCCAUCCAUUCAUCCAUCUAGCCAUCCACCCACCCACUCACCCAUCCACCCAUCCAUUCAUUCUUACCUUAAUUCAACACAUUUGUACUGAACACCAGCAAUGUUGGUGCUAGGAAAAGAAUUGUGGAAGAACCAGACAUGGGGCAUGGGGAGCAGGAGCCACAAGAAACUAAUCCAUGGGGAUGGCCAGGCCUGAUUAGCUGGGGUGGGGCUGGAGGCUCCUCUACAGAGAUGAUGCUUACACUGAGACCUGAAGGAGAAGGAGGAGGUGGCUGCUCACGCAACCCACAGGAAAGUGUUCCAGGAUCAAGAACAGCAGGUGCAAAGGCCCCGUGAUGGAAAGGAUUGGUGCACUAGGAGAACAAAGUGGGUGGCUGCAGGGCAGGAGGGGAGGGUGCAUGUGCAGGCUGGGCAGGAGGGUAGGGCCUUGAGGCACCCUACAGGCCCCUGUAAGUCCAGGCACAGAGCUGCUGCCUUGAGCCCUGAGGUCUGGACAUUCCAGUUUCCCAUCUUUCCAAUGUGGGACUCUCUGCCUUUUCCAAUUCCCCACUUCCCUGAUGCCAGAUACUGCCUGACUGUGUCCAUCUCUCCCCCGUCCCCUGGGCCACCUCCCUGCUGAGACCCCUCACUGGUGCCUCCCAGGUGCAUUCUCCUCGCUGCCCCCAGCAGAGUCCUUCCCACACACCCAGCUCCUCGGUGUGGUGCCUGCCCGUGGGUGGGUGGUGCACCCCACUGGCAUCCCUCCUCUGCCCUGUCCACCUCAACUUCCAGGGCAGCCUGGACACCAGGUUUGGUCUACCUCGUCCACACCCGCCUGCUUCUGUCCCGCCUUAAGCGGAUCCGUGAUGUCCCGUCAUUAGACCUUCAAUUUCAGCACAGGACUGAAUAACUAACCUUCAAAAAGUUUGCAGUAGCCUUGUCACUCCUAAAAAUAACAAAUAAUUCCUUAAACAUCAUUCAACAUCCA
RNAcentral lists this long non-coding RNA (1701 nucleotides) under Homo sapiens (human). Its description in RNAcentral is "HSALNT0177482". The record is from RNAcentral. Lineage: Eukaryota; Metazoa; Chordata; Mammalia; Primates; Hominidae.